UGAGGAAUAUUGGUCAAUGGACGAGAGUCUGAACCAGCCAAGUAGCGUGCAGGAUGACGGCCCUAUGGGUUGUAAACUGCUUUUGUUUGGGAAUAAUCGACAUUACGUGUAAUGUUUUGCAUGUACCAUUCGAAUAAGGACCGGCUAAUUCCGUGCCAGCAGCCGCGGUAAUACGGAAGGUCCAGGCGUUAUCCGGAUUUAUUGGGUUUAAAGGGAGUGUAGGCGGUUGGUUAAGCGUGUUGUGAAAUGUAGAUGCUCAACAUCUGACUUGCAGCGCGAACUGGCUGACUUGAGUAAAAACAACGUAGGGGGAAUUCAUGGUGUAGCGGUGAAAUGCUUAGAUAUCAUGAAGAACUCCGAUUGCGAAGGCAGCUUACGGGAGUGUUACUGACGCUUAAGCUCGAAGGUGCGGGUAUCGAACAGG
This 424-nucleotide ribosomal RNA is filed under the name Verrucomicrobiota bacterium. RNAcentral's name for it is "Verrucomicrobia bacterium partial 16S ribosomal RNA". It matches the Rfam family "Bacterial small subunit ribosomal RNA", at positions 355 to 776 of the family's 1533-position model. Lineage: Bacteria; Pseudomonadati; Verrucomicrobiota. The record is from RNAcentral.